UAGAUGAAUGCUCGCUGGCUGGAGCGCUUAGCUGUUAACUAGGAACUUGAGGGAUCGAGGCCCUCUCAUCUAU
Molecule: transfer RNA, 73 nt
Filed under: Halosaurus sp.
Lineage: Eukaryota; Metazoa; Chordata; Actinopteri; Notacanthiformes; Halosauridae
Description: tRNA-Asn
Source: RNAcentral